RNAcentral lists this long non-coding RNA (8035 nucleotides) under Haliotis rufescens (red abalone). Its description in RNAcentral is "uncharacterized LOC124150007". Lineage: Eukaryota; Metazoa; Mollusca; Gastropoda; Lepetellida; Haliotidae. The record is from RNAcentral.
ACAAAAACAAUAUUAGUAUAAUUCAGUUUUAAUAAUAUUUAGCACUUCUUUUUGACUAAGUUAGCAUAAACAUGUAACAUAGGAAAACAAGACAUUUUAGCCUGAAUAUAUGUGUCAAGUAAAACAGUAUGAAAGAAUGUAUUUGUUUGUCGUUUCCAACACAUUGGUUGCAUUUACCUUUGAACAGGUUUAUGCUGUUUCUGUGUUUUUCAUAAAGUCAAAGCGUUCAAAAGGGUGUUUUUGUGAGGUGUGAUGUUACUUGGCAGUAGAUAUUUUUGUAGGUUUAUUUGAAGUGAUGGUCAGUGCCAGCAAAUGAAGCCCAUGUACAAUAUUAACUGGCCUACCUGCACUGGAAGUCUCAUUUAGAGUUAUCUCCCUUGGUUAAGUAUCACUCAAGCUCCUUCUCAGCAUCUGACACCUUUGGUACACACCUGGUAACAUCGCUGCCAUCAGUGUGAAAGCAACCAUUACAAGAAUCUUGAAAUUUGUCCUCUAACCACAAAUGCAGCUGCAUUUAUAUUUUUUUUAUGUCUUUGCAAAAUCAUAGUGAAUUUUGAAAAGGUUUACAACUGACUAGAUUUCCCAAAUGAAUCUACCGCAACUUCCCACUUACAUUCUUACUAUACCAAUUACAUGAUAGUUGAAAUAUAAUAGAAUUUCAAAUUGUCAAACAAAGAACAAUUUAGAUGGGGUAACAUAUCCAGCAUCAUGGUAGUCAUCACUUGUUUGAAAACAUAAGGCAACAUUUUUUUAAUUACUUGGUUUACCAAUGCACCGCUCUUUCAAAGUUCAAAUGUUGAAAAAAAAUACAAAUACAAAUUAUUCCUUUUUUCAUAACCGCCAAUCUUUACUUUAAAAAAAUGAAUACAAAGUUCAAACAAAAAAAAGAUUUCAUUUCCUCUGCGAGUGUAAAGCAAAGGGAAGUCACUGUAAUAUUUCUCGCUGGGAUCCUUCUCUAAUACCAUCAAAGCUUGUCAGCGCAAAGUGCAGUGGUGACCAGUUUAACUCUUUCAGCCCUGUGGCCGGUACAAAAGACACCGCAGGCAGGUAGACCGCCCAAGUCAUGUCAAAAUAGUAUAAAAUUUUAUUAACUUAUCUGUCAUAUCAUUCAUUUAUAUAUCUUUCACAUUUUGCAAUGUCUGAAAUAUAUAUUUCAUUUCAAUUUAGAAUAAAAACUUAUUCACUAUUUUCCGCAAUGUUAUUAAAGAAAAAAAUUCUCAGACACACACUUCAACAACAGGGCCUCAUCGAACAUAUCAAACAGCAAAAUUAAGACGUUUCAAGCAAAUCUUUAAAUGUAUUAUACAAAGUAAUGAAUAACAUCAACAAAACUAUAUCUUAAGGUUGCCAAACUGACAUCUAAGUUAUUAUUUUCAUCUUUUCGUGCAAUCGCAUGUAAUGCAAGUCAAAUGAUAUGCAUAAGAAAUCUUUGUCCCAUCUCAUAACCUUGCACUAUAAAUCAAUCAAGUUCCAUAUUUUUAAUAUUUUAAUAUAGGUCAUGAUUUCCUGCUUAAAACGUUCAGAAUAACAUGAUUUAACCAAAACCUUCGUCAAAAUCUGAAAAUUAUUAUACACAAGUACAGUACCAUUGCUGUAAUUUGAUUAGCUGCCUCAGGUCACAUGUUUAAAUUAGACCAAUUACGAACCUUGUAGCAGAUUUCGGCAAGAAAGCGUCACUAGAAACCAAUUUUUAUCCAAUAUAAUCGCAUGGAGGAAAAGACUCCAGUGGAUGUUAACCGUAUUAUCAUUAUCUCGGUGAAACAAUAUGAGUUUUUUAAUGGAUAGUGACAUGGCAGACUUUGACGUACGUGUUAUUCAUACGAAGCUUCAAAAACGGAGGUAUUUCCUCAAUGUUAGUGAGAGGACAGCCACUAUUAUCGGGAAAUGGGUGAUGACAGAUGUUAUUUGCAACUCUUUUUAAAUGAUUUUCCGAUUACGUGAAAAAUGAAAAUAAAAGAGAAAUAGGUAAGUAGAUUUUAUGAAAUCUUAUUUUUUCCGUCAAUUGUGAAAUUUUUGGUUCCAUGGACCUUAAUCUGGGUUACAUUAUUUUAAUUUAAAAAGAACUUAAUUAAGUUGUAAAUGAACUAUUUAAAUAAUAUGCUACACAUAACUUUCAUAUUUAUAAACAAUAGGAUUAAUUAGACCUUUCAAAUGGUGUACAGCCAAACAUGUAGAUAGCAAAGAUAUUUUACAAGCAGAUAAUUUCCUUGAUAAAUGUUGGCUUCGUCUAUCAUACAAGAGUCUCUGUGAACUUGGAGUUACAGCAGAAAUCUUCUGGUUGGCUGGUGUUGAAAGAUAUAAUUGUCGCCCAUGCUGCCAAAAUAGAGGCGUCUUUCAUGCAUUUCCACCCAUGACAUGAAUAUUGUUAUAUUGCAAUUUGUGCAGAAGCUGAGUGCCAGGGAUAUAAUAAAAUGUUCUUGAAAGAUUGAGUUGAUUUACUUUUGUUACUCAAGAAUAUAUUUUGUUUUUAUACCUACCUAACCUUUUAGGACAAAAGUCAAGUAACAAAAAUCUGAGAGGCUUUUUCUUUUCUUUUCAAUUGGCCUACCCUACUUUUGAAAUGAAUUUGAAAUCCGUAAACCAAGAAAUAAAAACAUUGUCGCCUAAUGGUCAGUCGGUUGCAAGUUCAACUCCAAGCAUGGUUGUGGUCACAUAUCACAGUUGGGAGCUUUGACUGGUGGCAGCGAUAAGAUAAGCCAGCUCCACAAAUGGGCUAUUGCUAGGACAAGCUUGAGUAUCUUUGUUUGCACGCUUGCAGAGCUCCCUUUACUGUAUUGGGAGGAUCCCUUGACUGUAUUGGGAGGAUACCAAGCUAUCAUACACUGGGAAGGAGCUUGUGUAUCAAUGAACAGGACAGACUGCAACAUUAGAGAAGUUUUGUGAUGUACAUUUUCCUGAAGGCUGGCUGUAUAGGAGUGAGAUGAGAGUAAUUCGAGGCCUUUUAUGACCUCCUAAUCUUCUUAUCUACUUGCCCAGUGUGGGUAGAAUAUCUAUCUGAAAACACUGAAUUCCUGCCACCUGUCAACACUUUCAGGAUUCAAGAGCACAUGCCUCUUACAAGACAUUUGACAGUGACUUACGGUACUUCAAGGCAUUCGUGAGAGCAUUGACUUGGUGUUUCAAACAUAUUUUUACAUAAUUAUUCAUUGAUGUUGUGUGGGAUUUACUAUUUUCACAAAUCAGUUCUUUACAAACUGAUAGCUGCAUGGGUAAGCUUUGCGUUUCAAUUAGAAAAUCACCUGGUAACAGAAUGGAUAGUAAUGAUUGGUCCAGUGAUCCAUGUUUUGGGUGCAUGACCAUCUUCCACUGAUAUUGAUCCUGCACCAGCCCCUUGUACCUCCACCUCCACGACCAUUUCAUCAAAAUAACACCUCAUGUCUUAAUUUCAAGUUUGGCUAUUAUGCCAGAUAUCACAACCUUACUAAAGGGGGUCAUGUCCUUACAUAAUAACAAAGUUAAAAGCACUUCAAACUAAAUGAAAUCACUUUCUGUUUUGGGAAACAUGUCUUAAAUGCAAGACAACUUUAAAACAGAAAUCCUAUAAUGCCUAUGAAUACCAUAGCCAAUAAAUCCCAUAAUCAGAUUUUUAACAGACAUCCUCUUCAUUUCAACUAUCCAUAAUCAGUUGUGCAGAUAAUGGUAUCUAGCCCUUCAAAGCAUGUGCACGUCGGGAAAACCUGACUUCUUUCCUGUGUACAUGUGUGCUUUAGUUAACAGAUACAUAGUUCAUGGCCAAUUCAAGGGUCUUAAAAAAGGCGGGGUUCCUCUAAGGCUAUUUGUAACCUCAGUGAGGGAUGGGUCCCAGCCAAAAGCCUACCCCCAAAAUUACAAACACUACAUGUAAACCAUUAACAAUAAUUUUACUUUAACAACCACAUCAACAUGUUAUCAUGCUAGGAAAUGCACAUACAAAUGUCAUCAAAUGUAAAAAGGUGGGCUGGCCACCCCCAUAACACCCCUUUGGAUCUGCCACUGCAGUUAUCACAGCACAGUUAUUUUGGGCUUUUUCGCACUAUAAAAUCUAAAUUGUUAUAUACAUUAGAUUAGUAAUUAUGUUUCUAGUUUAAGAUUAACGAGGGUAUAUUAUCAGUGAAACUACAGAAGUUAGGUUUCUCAGGUUAGGCUGGGAGAGAUAAUGAGUGACUGAUUCCGACUGCACAUGGACUUGUUUGGGGAAUCUUUAAAGAGAGAACAACUCCAAGACUGCAAUCAUUUUGAGUUUCAACUCCAUCUAACCUUCACCUUAACCAAGGUCAAAACAAUCACCUGAAUAUGAAGUGAUUCAUAGCUGUUUUCUAUGUGAAAACAAAUUGCCAAAAAAUUGCCAACAAAUUAACAGCUGCUACAGUCCGAUUGUAAUCGUACAUACAGAAUUAGAUUGUGAAAUCAGAAAAGUCUUGAAUUUCCCAGGAUAAGUCUUACGAUUAUAUAAGGCAUUACAAAGGGUCAAAUAUAUGGUACGAUGAUCAAAUGAUGUGUCAGCCCUAGUUACGGGCCCUAUUUAACAACUCAGUGCACUAAACGAAUGUCAAUUAAUUAUCACAUGUGAAUAUCUACGAUGAGGUAUGGGGUCCAAUUUGAAUAGAGUAAUCGAUGUGAUGGAAACAGUUAGAAAAGUUGUUUUCUAAUAUGCAUCUUGUCCAAAAUUGAUAAGUAGAUAGGCGCAAGGAAGGUCAUAUUAAAGAGGCCUCAAAUGUUCCACAGCUCGCUCUUAUAGGCACAGUAGGUGUUCCAGAAUGUACUCUAGUGAGAAGCGACUGGAAGAUGGCCGUGUUUGUGGAAGUAACAAUACUGUGGAGCUCCUCAGAGUGGCCAUGGAGAGUAACAAAGAUGUCAAGCACUCGGAUGGAAUUUUAAGUAUAAACAGAACAAGGGAGGUAAUUCAAUAUCUAGGGCGAUCACCACUACAACACAACACCACUUGAAUUAUCAUGGGAGUAACUCCAUAGGCAAAAAGAAAUUGUCAUUUUAUGAACACCUCAACAAAUUUCUGUCAGCUACAUUCAUCAUUAAUACAGUUACAAUAUGCAAAAGCAAUAUUCACUGCCACACUGCACAGAUAAACUCAAUUAGAUAUGAGGAACUCAAGUAGGCGACACUCUCAAUUCAAUGGAUGGCUAACCAAAGCAAUUGAAUAUAGGGGCCAAAAUUGAAAAGAGGAAUUAUAUCUGUUUAUGAACAUGCAUGGGUCUCCUAUCAGUAGCCAAAAUGGCACCUCCCAAAUUCCAGGAAUGUUUUGAUCUGCAGUUUUUCCCUCUGUCAUGUGUGAAUGAUGAAGUCUAGCUAAUGUUAGAUGAUUUGAGAUAACUGAUAAUCGAUAAGAAAUAGGUAUAGUGCCAAAAAUGAAUCUGUCAAGAAUAACUUACCGGUACAUCCCUUGCUUGAAAGGAAUCUUUAAUAUCCCCAUCACCCAUCCAGUAGAGCUUAAAGAAGCAGCCACCCUCUGUAAAAUUGGAUCAAUUUGGUUUAAACAUCGUAUCUGUGCAUAGAAAACACUUGAUCACAUCCUACAAUGAAAUAUUUGUGUAUGAUGACCAAGUUUGUAUAUUUCCUAGUCAUUAUAACACAAUCUACAUGAAUGCUGUACAUCAUAGUCCAAGAAAAGAGCAGGACAAUUACCACCCAGACGCUGCCACCAGGAAAAUUGCCAUCCAGGAAAAUUGCCACCCAAACAAUUGCCAUCCAGGACAAUUGCCACCCAGACAAUUGUCAUACAGGACAAUUGCCACCUUGGAUAAUUGCUACCCGGACAAUUGCCAUCCAGGACGAUUGAUGACCAGACAACUGCCACCCAGACAAUUGCCAUCCAGGACAAAUGCCACCCAGAUAAUCACCAUCUAGGACAAUUGCCACCCAGACAAUUGCCAUCCAGGACAAUUGCCACCUAGGACAAUAAGCCAGUCUCCAGUUUUGCGAAAUAAGUCUGUUAGAGUGACAUCCCUUUGCAAAACCAUGUGACCACGGGCAAACCAUCAAACAAACUGCUGUCAAACUUUUGACAUGCUUGAGAACUAUACCGACCACUAUCUGAUGUUAACGGAAAGGGGAGCCGAAAAUGCCUUAACACAGAUGCAAGGGCCGCCAGGACAUUGAAAAUGUAUAUUUAACUCCUUUUCCGAAACUGUUUGAGGUGGUCAAGGGCCCGUGGUCGAGUGGGAAUUUAUGCCCAAAGCAUCACAUGGCAUAUCCGUAUUUGUUCAAAACACUUCGUAGGCCACCACUUCGUCAAAGGCAAGCAGAUCCCGGGGCCUCUGACACCCCAUGCAAGAAGAGAGUUGAAGGGAGUGAUGUCUCAACUACCAAAUAUGUCAGAAGAUCAUUGUUGGACCAAUGACACCUACUACACUGUCAAAUCUACAGCUGACGCCUCCACAGUUACUGGCUUGUAUUUUGAGAACAUCAGCACAUACACAGAUGACGCUGCAGAACCUCAAAACAGUUAUUAAAAAGUUAACUGUGGAUAACAUCAUCAGAAACAACAAAUCCGCAAGUUUUACAAAGCAAAAAUCCAGCAGAGGCCCUUCCAGAAUUCUGUCUCUGUAUGAGGAACUCAUCAUCACCCUCAUGCGACUACGACGUGCUAAUGAUGUGGAACAGCUAUCUGAUUUAUUUGGUGUUUCAAAUUCUCACAUUACUAGAAAACGCAGCACAUGGAUCAAUCUGCACCAUGUUUUACUUUUUUAUAGCCUGAAAUAUUGAAGAAAGUAAUUUAAAAAAAAUAAAAAAAUUGAUUUUGCUAAUAAUACAAUCAAAGAAAUGUUCACAAGAAGGCACAUUAAUAGCACAUAUACCUUUAUCUUGUGUAUAUUACCAAAUCACAGGACUGAAAUCCAUAUACCUAACUGGCCCUGAAUCUGGUAAUAAUAAUCACUAUCAUCUUUAAGAUACCAAUUACCAUCUUUCAGGUAACAUCUCCUACAUUUUGCAGCAAUUUUAGGAUCACAGUCUUUCAAAGCCCAUGGACAUAGAAUCUCUAGUUAUUUAUUAUGAUGAUUUUCUUUGCAAUUUCCACUGAAGUACCAAGGAAAGGAUGUCCUUUAUCAAUCAACAAACCUUUAAAUUUGCACAGACAGUUUUUUAUGUCUCCUUCUCUCAAUCUGUAUAUACAUUUCUCUGGCCUUACUUUCUUUUUUUCUAUCCCACACAAGAGAAAAUGGUACAUUGCAAUAUUCAAUGCAACCAGUAUAAAUACUGUCAUGGAGCAAACAUUGAACUAACUUUGAACAAUCAAUAUUACUGUUUUUUCAAAUGAGUCUGCCCUAGUGCACACACAUUUAAACUUGCAAAUUGUUACCAUGCCUUUUCUCAUAACUGACCAUGUAGGAUUCUCACUCUGCCCUGCAGUUUCAUGUUCAAUGUAAUUAAUGUCAUCAUUACAAUACUUCAGUUUAUCAACUACAUCCUUAGAUAAAACACUGUCCAGGGGCAAGUCAAAGGCCUCUAGUUUGUUGAUUAGGGACAUGGCAGCACAUUUCUCAUUCAUUUUUGUCCCUUGAGUCUCUCUGUCAGUUGGAUUAAGUAGGGUUUCCAAGGCACAGGCAUUAGGAUUUAUCUGCAAUUAUGAAAGUUUGUCAUAAGUUCUCUGCAAAAAAUAUAAAAUACAUCUGGGUAAUGAACAUAAAAAAAUGCAUAUUUUUUCAGAAUUACAAAUUAGAAAUGUUAUCCAAAAGGGAAUGUAUAUUGAUACUGAGUGUGUUAUUUUACCAGUAUCUGAUCAUAGAUUUCAUGAUGUUUGAAAGUGAGACAAUCUACAUAAAUUAUUUUUCCAAAACAUUAUAUGUGAAUACUUAACAUUGAUCAUGUCAAUGUUCACUAUGAUCACUGAUUAGUUACUGAUACAUGUUGUACACUGAAAUAGAAUAGGUGAUUCCCACCUGGUUCAGGGAGGCUGCAAAAUUAGCCAUCUGUUCCAGUGAUGGAUCUGAUCGGUCAUUUAUUGGGCGAGGAUCAAAAUUUUCCUGGCAGAGGUAACCAUUCAUGGCUUCAAGUGUUUGUCCAAAGCUGCAACACAUAUGAGAUGGGUUAUUUAGCAGCU